AGAGCAGGCACCUCAACACAUGGCUAGUCGAGCGGAACGAUGGAGCUUGCUCCAGGCGUCGAGCGGCGGACGGGUGAGUAAUGCAUAGGAAUCUGCCCGGUAGUGGGGGAUAACCUGGGGAAACCCAGGCUAAUACCGCAUACGUCCUACGGGAGAAAGCAGGGGAUCUUCGGACCUUGCGCUAUCGGAUGAGCCUAUGUCGGAUUAGCUUGUUGGUGAGGUAAUGGCUCACCAAGGCGACGAUCCGUAGCUGGUCUGAGAGGAUGAUCAGCCACAUCGGGACUGAGACACGGCCCGAACUCCUACGGGAGGCAGCAGUGGGGAAUAUUGGACAAUGGGCGAAAGCCUGAUCCAGCCAUGCCGCGUGUGUGAAGAAGGCUUUCGGGUUGUAAAGCACUUUCAGUGAGGAAGAAGGCCUUGGGGCUAAUACCCCCGAGGAAGGACAUCACUCACAGAAGAAGCACCGGCUAACUCCGUGCCAGCAGCCGCGGUAAUACGGAGGGUGCGAGCGUUAAUCGGAAUUACUGGGCGUAAAGCGCGCGUAGGCGGCGUGAUAAGCCGGUUGUGAAAGCCCCGGGCUCAACCUGGGAACGGCAUCCGGAACUGUCAGGCUAGAGUGCAGGAGAGGAAGGUAGAAUUCCCGGUGUAGCGGUGAAAUGC
RNAcentral lists this ribosomal RNA (660 nucleotides) under Halomonas ventosae. RNAcentral describes it as "bacterial SSU rRNA". It matches the Rfam family "Bacterial small subunit ribosomal RNA", at positions 38 to 689 of the family's 1533-position model. The record is from RNAcentral. Lineage: Bacteria; Pseudomonadati; Pseudomonadota; Gammaproteobacteria; Oceanospirillales; Halomonadaceae.